GCCUGCGUAGCUCAGCGGUAGAGCACAUCCUUGGUAAGGAUGAGGUCACCGGUUCAAGCCCGGUCGCAGGCUCCA
This 75-nucleotide transfer RNA is filed under the name Deltaproteobacteria bacterium. RNAcentral's name for it is "tRNA-Thr". It matches the Rfam family "tRNA". Rfam says of the family: Transfer RNA (tRNA) molecules are approximately 80 nucleotides in length. Their secondary structure includes four short double-helical elements and three loops (D, anti-codon, and T loops). The record is from RNAcentral. Lineage: Bacteria; Pseudomonadati; Myxococcota; Myxococcia.